RNAcentral lists this ribosomal RNA (1001 nucleotides) under uncultured bacterium. RNAcentral describes it as "bacterial SSU rRNA". It matches the Rfam family "Bacterial small subunit ribosomal RNA", at positions 505 to 1502 of the family's 1533-position model. The record is from RNAcentral.
GUGCCAGCAGCCGCGGUGAUACGGAGGGUGCAAGCGUUGUUCGGAAUUACUGGGCGUAAAGGGCGUGUAGGCGGAUCAAGUAGUCGGGUGUGAAAGCCCUGGGCUCAACCCAGGAAGUGCGCCCGAAACCAUUGAUCUUGAGUUUCGGAGGGGAGCGGGGAAUUCCCAGUGUAGAGGUGAAAUUCGUAGAUAUUGGGAGGAACACCGGUGCCGAAGGGGCCGCUCUGGACGAAUACUGACGCUAAGACGCGAAAGCAUGGGGAGCAAACAGGAUUAGAUACCCUGGUAGUCCAUGCCGUAAACGAUGUGCACUAGGUGUCGGGGGUAUUGACCCCCCCGGUGCCGCCGCUAACGCAUUAAGUGCACCGCCUGGGAAGUACGAUCGCAAGGUUGAAACUCAAAGGAAUUGACGGGGGCCCGCACAAGCGGUGGAGUAUGUGGUUUAAUUCGACGCAACGCGAAGAACCUUACCUGGACUUGACAUCUGGGGAAGUCCCUAGAGAUAGGGAUGUGCCCUUCGGGGAACCCCAUGACAGGUGCUGCAUGGCUGUCGUCAGCUCGUGUCGUGAGAUGUUGGGUUAAGUCCCGCAACGAGCGCAACCCCUGUCCUUAGUUGCCAUCAGUUCGGCUGAGCACUCUAAGGAGACUGCCGGUGUUAAACCGGAGGAAGGUGGGGAUGACGUCAAGUCCUCAUGGCCUUUAUGUCCAGGGCUACACACGUACUACAAUGGCUGGUACAAAGGGUCGCAAUACCGCGAGGUGGAGCUAAUCCCAAAAAACCAGUCUCAGUUCGGAUUGGUUUCUGCAACUCGAAACCAUGAAGUUGGAAUCGCUAGUAAUCGCUGAUCAGCAUGCAGCGGUAAAUACGUUCCCGGGCCUUGUACACACCGCCCGUCACACCUCGAAAGCUGUUUAUACCAGAAGUGCGUGACCCAACCUUUAAGGAGGGAGCGCCCCAAGGUAUGAGCGGUGAUUGGGGUGAAGUCGUAACAAGGUAACCG